GAGUCAGUUGGGAGGAAGCUGGGCUGGAAAUACAGCUGAGAGCCUCUGUUGACAGAUGGAUGCCUUCUUAAUCACAGCCUGUGACACCCACAUGACUAGGAGGAGGCAGAAAGUGAAUAGGGAGCUCUUAUUACUUUUUGAGUGUCAGCAAGAACCUGUGACUGCAUCAGCUUUAUAUCCUGGACCUCAGCCUGGAACAAAGGAGAGCUACACUUGGAUACUAAACACAAGUGGUCUGGAUAGAUUAUGCUGGGAAAAGAAGCCUGGAGCAGGCAGUACAGUGGGAGAACAAGUGAUGACUUUAGUCAGAAGUGUGCUGGAGCAGUUUGCAGAGCCUUGCAAAAUUGAUGGUGCCUAUCUAUUUCCAGCUCUAUGUUCAUCAAUGCCAGAUCGGCAGACUGAAAUCAGCCGUGAUAAAAAUGUUUACACUAUGGAAAUUGGCAAAUACUAAAAAUCAUCAGAUACUCUCUCACCCCAGACAUGAUCAAUCAUUCAAUAGUACACAACUGAUUUCAGUGGAAGAGAGUUAUGGUACAUAAAUGAUUUUUAGUUCUUCAUGUUAGAUGUCUUAAAAUUAUAAGUCUCAACUUUCAAGUACCUAUUAAUCUCAAAAAAAUUAAACCUAUAUUUUACAAGAAA
Long non-coding RNA from Homo sapiens (human), 639 nucleotides. Ensembl annotates it as long intergenic non-protein coding RNA 1013. The record is from Ensembl. Lineage: Eukaryota; Metazoa; Chordata; Mammalia; Primates; Hominidae.